AGAGUUUGAUCCUGGCUCAGGAUUAACGCUAGCGGCAGGCCUAAUACAUGCAAGUUGAACGGGAUUAAGUAGCAAUACUUAUGAGAGUAGCGCACGGGUGCGUAACGCGUAUGCAAUCUACCUUUAACCGGGGGAUAGCCCAAAGAAAUUUGGAUUAAUACCGCAUAAUAUUAUUGAAUGGCAUCAUUCGAUACUCAAAACUACGGUGGUUAAAGAUGAGCAUGCGUGACAUUAGCUAGUUGGUGAGGUAAUGGCUCACCAAGGCUCCGAUGUCUAGGGGGUCUGAGAGGAUGAUCCCCCACACUGGUACUGAGACACGGACCAGACUCCUACGGGAGGCAGCAGUAAGGAAUAUUGGUCAAUGGACGCAAGUCUGAACCAGCCAUGCCGCGUGCAGGAUGACUGCCCUAUGGGUUGUAAACUGCUUUUGUACGGGAAGAAACCUCUCUACGUGUAGAGAGUUGACGGUACCGUAAGAAUAAGGAUCGGCUAACUCCGUGCCAGCAGCCGCGGUAAUACGGAGGAUCCAAGCGUUAUCCGGAUUUAUUGGGUUUAAAGGGUGCGUAGGCGGCCUAUUAAGUCAGUGGUGAAAGCCUGGAGCUUAACUCCAGAACUGCCAUUGAUACUGAUGGGCUUGAGUACAGUUGAGGUAGGCGGAAUGUGUCAUGUAGCGGUGAAAUGCUUAGAUAUGACACAGAACACCGAUUGCGAAGGCAGCUUGCUAAACUGUAACUGACGCUGAGGCACGAAAGCGUGGGUAGCAAACAGGAUUAGAUACCCUGGUAGUCCACGCCCUAAACGUUGAUUACUCGAUGUGUGCGAUACACAGUACGCGUCUAAGCGAAAGCAUUAAGUAAUCCACCUGGGGAGUACGGUCGCAAGACUGAAACUCAAAGGAAUUGACGGGGGCCCGCACAAGCGGAGGAGCAUGUGGUUUAAUUCGAUGAUACGCGAGGAACCUUACCCGGGCUUGAAAGUUAGUGAAUGGCGUGGAAACAUGUCAGGCCGCAAGGACACGAAACUAGGUGCUGCAUGGCUGUCGUCAGCUCGUGCCGUGAGGUGUUGGGUUAAGUCCCGCAACGAGCGCAACCCCUAUCAUUAGUUGCCAUCAGGUUAUGCUGGGGACUCUAAUGAGACUGCCCGCGCAAGCGGUGAGGAAGGUGGGGAUGACGUCAAGUCAGCACGGCCCUUACGUCCGGGGCUACACACGUGCUACAAUGGGCGAUACAGAGGGCUGCUACCAGGUGACUGGAUGCUAAUCCUUAAAGUCGUUCUCAGUUCGGAUUGGAGUCUGCAACUCGACUCCAUGAAGCUGGAUUCGCUAGUAAUCGCAUAUCAGCAAUGAUGCGGUGAAUACGUUCCCGGGCCUUGUACACACCGCCCGUCAAACAAUGGAAUCUGGGGGUACCUAAAGUCGAUCACCGCAAGGAGUCGCCUAAGGUAAAACUGGUAACUGGUGUUAAGUCGAAACAAGGUAGCCGUACCGGAAGGUGUGGCUG
Molecule: ribosomal RNA, 1499 nt
Filed under: metagenome
Description: bacterial SSU rRNA
Rfam family: Bacterial small subunit ribosomal RNA
Source: RNAcentral